GGACGAACGCUGGCGGCGUGCUUAACACAUGCAAGUCGAACGGAAAGGCCCUGCUUUUGUGGGGUGCUCGAGUGGCGAACGGGUGAGUAACACGUGAGUAACCUGCCCUUGACUUUGGGAUAACUUCAGGAAACUGGGGCUAAUACCGGAUAGGAGCUCCUGCUGCAUGGUGGGGGUUGGAAAGUUUCGGCGGUUGGGGAUGGACUCGCGGCUUAUCAGCUUGUUGGUGGGGUAGUGGCUUACCAAGGCUUUGACGGGUAGCCGGCCUGAGAGGGUGACCGGCCACAUUGGGACUGAGAUACGGCCCAGACUCCUACGGGAGGCAGCAGCGGGGAAUAUUGCACAAUGGGCGGAAGCCUGAUGCAGCAACGCCGCGUGCGGGAUGACGGCCUUCGGGCUGUAAACCGCUUUCGCCUGUGACGAAGCGUGAGUGACGGUAAUGGGUAAAGAAGCACCGGCUAACUACGUG
RNAcentral lists this ribosomal RNA (469 nucleotides) under uncultured bacterium. RNAcentral's name for it is "partial 16S ribosomal RNA". It matches the Rfam family "Bacterial small subunit ribosomal RNA", at positions 27 to 507 of the family's 1533-position model. The record is from RNAcentral.